UACGUAGGGUCCGAGCGUUGUCCGGAAUUACUGGGCGUAAAGAGCUCGUAGGUGGUUUGUCGCGUUGUUCGUGAAAACUCACAGCUUAACUGUGGGCGUGCGGGCGAUACGGGCAGACUAGAAUACUGCAGGGGAGACUGGAAUUCCUGGUGUAGCGGUGGAAUGCGCAGAUAUCAGGAGGAACACCGGUGGCGAAGGCGGGUCUCUGGGCAGUAACUGACGCUGAGGAGCGAAAGCGUGGGGAGCGAACAGG
Molecule: ribosomal RNA, 253 nt
Filed under: uncultured bacterium
Lineage: Bacteria
Description: partial 16S ribosomal RNA
Rfam family: Bacterial small subunit ribosomal RNA
Source: RNAcentral